Hibiscus syriacus is the source of this 151-nucleotide long non-coding RNA. RefSeq lists it as uncharacterized. Lineage: Eukaryota; Viridiplantae; Streptophyta; Magnoliopsida; Malvales; Malvaceae. The record is from RefSeq and is a predicted model, not a curated record. The transcript has 3 exons.
UAUGUAACGGGAAAAAAGGAAAGGAAUAAGUGGCGCGGGGUGAGGGGAAAGGAUUUACCUUGAAAGAAACUCUGGUUUUAAGAUCAGUCUUCCUGUCAUUGAAGCCUGAUACAAUUGCUGAAUAAUAGGAGUUUCCGACUGCUUCUGCUGU